CUCUUCCUUCUCUCUUCUUUCUCUCUCUAUUGGAAACCACCAUUGAAGACAGGCUAGGGGGAUGUUUUGGGGGAUGGAAAACGAUGAAUUCACCAUCAAAUCUUCAUCUUUAUAAGAUCUAAUUACAUAUUGAGACUCUUUCCUCAAAGGGUUCCUUCAAAAUGGAUUUCAAAAGAUGUGUUUUCAUGUUCAGGUUGUUAAAGCCUCAUUCGGGUAAAUUCACUUAUUUCACACAAUUCUUUUGGUCAUGCCUUUUAGAGAUAAUGGAGAGAUGAAUAUAUUUAUUGAAUCCGUCGGGACUGACGGGGCUCGAACCCGCAGCUUCCGCCUUGACAGGGCGGUGCUCUUACCGAUUGAACUACAAUCCCAAGAAAAUUAGGUGGACGACUUGAAUAUGUCUUGGAUAUUCUCUAUCAUCCAAGUGGGUCGGUUCUCACAUUUCAAGGGCAACGCCAAUAUCAUUCCUAUGAAGUUCUUUUGCUUUUCUAUGACUUUUAUGUUCAUUCAACUUUUAUUGUAUAAGCCUUGUAUAAGACUAUAUGUGGUUUGUUUAUAUUUGAUGUAGGUUUAUGCCUAUAUUGUGAUAAUCAUUUGGUUGGUAUGAGAUGUGACAAUCUAUGAGACUA
Solanum lycopersicum (tomato) is the source of this 626-nucleotide long non-coding RNA. RefSeq lists it as uncharacterized. The record is from RefSeq and is a predicted model, not a curated record. Lineage: Eukaryota; Viridiplantae; Streptophyta; Magnoliopsida; Solanales; Solanaceae.